AGAGUUUGAUCAUGGCUCAGGAUGAACGCUAGCGGGAGGCCUAACACAUGCAAGCCGAGCGGUAGAGAUUCUACGGAAUCUUGAGAGCGGCGUACGGGUGCGGAACACGUGUGCAACCUACCUUUAUCUGGAGGAUAGCCUUUCGAAAGGAAGAUUAAUACUCCAUAAUAUAUUGAUUGGCAUCAAUUGAUAUUGAAAGCUCCGGCGGAUAGAGAUGGGCACGCGCAAGAUUAGUUAGUUGGUGAGGUGACGGCUCACCAAGACGAUGAUCUUUAGGGGCCUGAGAGGGUGAUCCCCCACACUGGUACUGAGACACGGACCAGACUCCUACGGGAGGCAGCAGUGAGGAAUAUUGGUCAAUGGGUGCAAGCCUGAACCAGCCAUCCCGCGUGAAGGACGACUGCCCUAUGGGUUGUAAACUUCUUUUGUAUAGGGAUAAACCUACCCUCGUGAGGGUAGCUGAAGGUACUAUACGAAUAAGCACCGGCUAACUCCGUG
Molecule: ribosomal RNA, 498 nt
Filed under: uncultured bacterium
Lineage: Bacteria
Description: bacterial SSU rRNA
Rfam family: Bacterial small subunit ribosomal RNA
Source: RNAcentral